CCAUACAGACAUACACCUCACACUAACAGGUCAUCAUGCUGAAGGAGUGGAUAGUCCUACUGACUCUGGGCUAUUGCCAAGGGAAGAAACCUGUUUGUAGCCUGCACACAGACCAACGAUAUGGCAGAAACAUGAGUAGAAUCUGGCUCAAUGGGUCACAUACCUCUCCAUUGAAGCAUAAGGCUGACAUCGAUGAGCGUGUACUUACCUCAAACAGCACAAGAUAUUUGACACAAAUAUGUUUAUCAGUAUUAUCAUUGCGACAUAAUGGAAUAUACAUGAUUGAAGCUGGCUCUAUCAAUAAAAGUCCUUUCAGGGAAUGCAUUGAAGUGCUUUGAUAUAUCUGAAAACUUCCUUGUUGGGGAUGGUGGCCUUUUAUUAAUUUUGAUGGUAUUUUCACGUUUGAAGUAUCUUGAUGUCAGCUAUCAGCGACAGGUAUAUGACGUACCAAGCCAAACCAUGUUAGCAUCUCCAAUAGCGGUAGCACUACCACAAAAUAUUGUAUAUUUUGAUGUAACAGCGUUACUUUGCUAGUGCUGUAGACGUUGAUUUUGAUGUAACUUUUUACAAUACGGACAACUUGAAGACCUUUCUAUUUGGUUAUAACAAAGCAUCUGUCAAACGCGUAUAUGGUUUGGAACAUGUGUAUAACGUUGAUGUUUCAGGGAACGACUUUGGUGCCAUAAGCUAUGACUUUUUCCAAGCUUUCUCGAAUGUUAAAAAGCUUUCUAUUAGAAACUGCAACUUACAAAAUGCUAACUACACAUUUACAAAGACUGAUAUGUUUAAGGAACUGGAAGAAAUCCAGAAUUUAGACGUGUCAUCAAAUGGC
Molecule: long non-coding RNA, 832 nt
Organism: Haliotis rubra (blacklip abalone)
Lineage: Eukaryota; Metazoa; Mollusca; Gastropoda; Lepetellida; Haliotidae
Exons: 3
Source: RefSeq, a predicted model, not a curated record